CGGUCAGCAGCCGCCCGACGGCAACCCCACCCGGGGGAGGCCGCCGGGGCUGUGGGGGCGCUUCUCCACAGGCGGGCAGGGCUGGCAGGGCCCUCGGGCUGCUUGCCCAGCCGUGAAUUUGGGUAGUACCCGGGUCCUCGCUGUGUUCAGACCCGGAGCAUCCUCUGCAUGUGCCGAGGCUGGAGCUAACGGGACCAGCGUUGUGGAGAAAGUUUAAAAUAAAUGAUCUCUGGCAGGUGUGACAGUUUCUGAGCUGCUGUUGCAGGUGAGAAGACGCCUCCAGCCUGCUUUCUGCUUCCCCAGAAGCUGUUGUCUCAAGGUGCAGAUACACUGAUCUGGAGAAACACCAGCUUGUUUAACUGGGAAAUGGUUUCAUAAGCUAGGGCUUCAUCCCACCCCACACUUGAUGGAAGGGGUUGUAUAAAUGCGUAUCUGCAAUGACUCAGACACACACCUCUGCUGGCCUGGCCAAGUGCAAGGUUGAGUGUCCAGCUUAGUCUCUGGAUCCUGUGGAACGUGGAGAGCUCGAUAGCUUCUUCAGCAGAGCAUGGGAGCUCCCAUCACCCCGUGUUCUGGAAAUGUGUGCUGGCAGCUGCGGGGGUCAGAAGCCUGGAAGGAGAGAGGAUAAACGGAUGAUGCACAGUGAAAGCACGCACAGAUGAGGAACGAAACUGCACCCAGAACUGUGUUAACAUUUAUGUGGCUCAGCUUUUCCCUAGAGCUACUGGCCAUUUGGUCAUGUGCAGAUGCACCUGCUCCUGCUCUAACAUGGCCGUGGUGCCAACAGUUGAUUUCAUUUUGCUUUAAGUUGGUUGAGAAGUAAAGCUAUUACAGAACCAAA
Calidris pugnax (ruff) is the source of this 841-nucleotide long non-coding RNA. RefSeq lists it as uncharacterized. The transcript has 2 exons. The record is from RefSeq and is a predicted model, not a curated record. NCBI's taxonomy places the organism in Eukaryota, Metazoa, Chordata, Aves, Charadriiformes, Scolopacidae.